CGCAAGAUUAAAACUCAAAUGAAUUGACGGGGGCCCGCACAAGCGGUGGAGCAUGUGGUUUAAUUCGAUGCAACGCGAAGAACCUUACCUACUCUUGACAUCCAGAGAACUUUCCAGAGAUGGAUUGGUGCCUUCGGGAACUCUGAGACAGGUGCUGCAUGGCUGUCGUCAGCUCGUGUUGUGAAAUGUUGGGUUAAGUCCCGCAACGAGCGCAACCCUUAUCCUUGUUUGCCAGCACUUCGGGUGGGAACUCCAGGGAGACUGCCGGUGAUAAACCGGAGGAAGGUGGGGACGACGUCAAGUCAUCAUGGCCCUUACGAGUAGGGCUACACACGUGCUACAAUGGCGCAUACAGAGGGCGGCCAACUUGCGAGAGUGAGCGAAUCCCAAAAAGUGCGUCGUAGUCCGGAUCGGAGUCUGCAACUCGACUCCGUGAAGUCGGAAUCGCUAGUAAUCGUGGAUCAGAAUGCCACGGUGAAUACGUUCCCGGGCCUUGUACACACCGCCCGUCACACCAUGGGAGUGGGCUGCAAAAGAAGUAGGUAGUUUAACCUUUCGGGGAGGACGCUU
This 570-nucleotide ribosomal RNA is filed under the name Vibrio sp. RNAcentral describes it as "bacterial SSU rRNA". It matches the Rfam family "Bacterial small subunit ribosomal RNA", at positions 887 to 1455 of the family's 1533-position model. Lineage: Bacteria; Pseudomonadati; Pseudomonadota; Gammaproteobacteria; Vibrionales; Vibrionaceae. The record is from RNAcentral.